This 1527-nucleotide unclassified non-coding RNA is filed under the name Hevea brasiliensis (rubber tree). Lineage: Eukaryota; Viridiplantae; Streptophyta; Magnoliopsida; Malpighiales; Euphorbiaceae. The record is from RNAcentral.
AAUAACACUUGACCUACCUAUAGCAAAAGAAAAAUGUAGUACACAUUUAUUUCUACUGAAAAUUACAUAUAGAAAAUAAAAUUCCACACAACAUUUGGUGAUGCCGUCUUUAGUUGUACCAUUAGGUUCUUGACAUUACAAGCACUGUUAGGACAGAUAAUGUGUGGAUUUUUUUUUUUUUGAUAAUCGAGAAAUUUUCGAGGAUCAGUCAACAGACGAUUCGAAACUCGAUGAAUGAUAAUUUUUAUCACUCCAUAACAGUUUCUUUUUUCUUAGUCCACAGCAUCACUAGUGUGAAGCCCAUUAAUGACAUGAUCACAACUGAUAUAGCUGGUGGGACACUAACAAGGGGAUCUUGAAAAAACUUAUUGGCAAGAGCAAGGGCCAAAAGACUGCUCUGCAUGCCUGUUUCGUAUGACAGUGUUCUUUGUAGAGCUUUGACAUCGGGUGCUUUGUGGAAGGCUAGGCCGGAAAGAAAAUAGGCCAAGAUGAAAGCUGAUAAAUGAAAUGCAAUCACUAGGAACAAAACAGACAUUCCAGAAGGGGACAUGAGGGAAUCUAUGUUAAUAGCGAGUGGAGCUCCUACAGCGAGAGCAGUCACAAAAACUGACAGGGGAGGCAACAACGGCCGAAUGGCAUUUGAAAUCUGUGGGAGGCAUCUAUUCAGAAAGAGCCCACCAGCAACAGGUGCAACAACAAUCUGGAGUAUGUUGGAAAUCAUUCCCUUAACAUCCACAGGCAACUUUUUCCCAAUAAGCAAUAAAGUUAAUGUCGGGGUGAUAAAAGCAGCAGUAGCUGUAGAUAACGCUGUCAUCACUAUACUAAGAGGGGCCAUUUGUGGAUCGGUUAGAAAAGUAGCAUAAUUUGACAGCUGUGCUCCGCUAACACAAGAGGUCAACAUAAUCCCUGCAGCUAAGGAAGUUGGAAGACCCAAUACAGACAUUGCAACUGUGCCAAAAAGAUACCCGAGUAGUGGCUUCAAAGCAAAUUGACCGAUAUAACCAGCAAAAAUGGCAGCAGGUUUCUUGAAAGCUUCAAGAAAGUCCUUUUCACUUGAAUUGACUCCAACAGCGAACAUUAAAAAUCCUAAUGCAGGGGCAUAGUACCUGUUGGUAAACCAAGUAAAAGAAGGUGGAUAGAUAAGAGCCAAAAUUGUGCUAGCAAGAACCACAUGGGGCAGAAAAGAGUUUGCUCCCUUCAAAAUUGUCAAAAAGGCGUUCUCUUUUUGUUUCAAAUUCUCAAGUGAUUCAAAGUCAUUAGGCCCAAGUGGAUCUGAGAAACUUUCUGAGAUACAUCUAGUAACCAAUAGUCUUGGCAAUGUGGAUUGUAUAGCUGAUGGAAACCCCACCAAUCGUACCCCUGAGGAGUGGAAGCAUUUCUUGGUAAAAGAAACAACUGGGUGUUGAUGAAAACAAGGUAGAGAUUUGUGAAGUGAAGGAGAAUCAAGAAUCUUGAAGCCUUGAUGAUUCUGCUGAAAAAGAAGAAAUUUAAUACUCAUUUUUUAUUUAAAAAAAAAUUCAGUUUUUG